Molecule: ribosomal RNA, 403 nt
Filed under: Fusobacteriota bacterium
Lineage: Bacteria; Fusobacteriati; Fusobacteriota
Description: Fusobacteria bacterium partial 16S ribosomal RNA
Rfam family: Bacterial small subunit ribosomal RNA
Source: RNAcentral
UGGGGAAUAUUGCACAAUGGAGGGAACUCUGAUGCAGCGACGCCGCGUGAACGAAGAAGGCUUUCGAGUCGUAAAGUUCUUUUAUAUGGGAAGAUAAUGACGGUACCAUAAGAAAAAGCCCCGGCUAACUACGUGCCAGCAGCCGCGGUAAUACGUAGGGGGCUAGCGUUGUCCGGAAUCACUGGGCGUAAAGGGUUCGCAGGCGGAAAUGCAAGUCAGGUGUAAAAGGCAGUAGCUUAACUACUGUAAGCAUUUGAAACUGCAUAUCUUGAGAAGAGUAGAGGUAAGUGGAAUUUUUAGUGUAGCGGUGAAAUGCGUAGAUAUUAAAAAGAAUACCGGUGGCGAAGGCGACUUGCUGGGCUCAUUCUGACGCUGAGGAACGAAAGCGUGGGUAGCAAACAGG